This 734-nucleotide ribosomal RNA is filed under the name uncultured marine bacterium. RNAcentral describes it as "bacterial SSU rRNA". It matches the Rfam family "Bacterial small subunit ribosomal RNA", at positions 14 to 794 of the family's 1533-position model. The record is from RNAcentral.
UGAUCCUGGCUCAGAAUGUACGCUGGCGGCACGCCUAACACAUGCAAGUCGAGCGAGGUACUUGUACCUAGCGGCAGACGGGUGCGUAACAUGUGGGAAUCUGCCUUUUGGUUCGGAACAACACGGGGAAACUUGUGCUAAUACCGGAUAAGUCCUAACGGAGAAAGAUUUAUCGCCGAAAGAUGAGCCCGCACUAGAUUAGCUUGUUGGUAAGGUAAAAGCUUACCAAGGCUACGAUCUAUAGCUGAUUUGAGAGGAUGAUCAGCCACACUGGGACUGAGACACGGCCCAGACUCCUACGGGAGGCAGCAGUGGGGAAUCUUGCACAAUGGAGGAAACUCUGAUGCAGCGAUGCCGCGUGAGUGAAGAAGGCCCUUGGGUUGUAAAGCUCUUUUGUCGGGAAAGAUAAUGACUGUACCCGAAGAAUAAGGUCCGGCUAACUUCGUGCCAGCAGCCGCGGUAAUACGAAGGGACCUAGCGUAAUUCGGAAUUACUGGGCGUAAAGCGCGCGUAGGCGGUUAAGUAAGUUAAUUGUGAAAGCCCAAAGCUCAACUUUGGAAUUGCAAUUAAAACUACUUAGCUAGAGUUUAUCAGAGGAAAGCGGAAUACAUAGUGUAGAGGUGAAAUUCGUAGAUAUUAUGUAGAACACCAGUUGCGAAGGCGGCUUUCUGGGAUAAUACUGACGCUGAGGUGCGAAAGUAUGGGUAGCGAAGAGGAUUAGAUACCCUCGUAGU